RNAcentral lists this ribosomal RNA (62 nucleotides) under uncultured organism. RNAcentral describes it as "partial 16S ribosomal RNA". The record is from RNAcentral.
UGGGCUUGACAUGUCCGGAAUCCUGCAGAGAUGCGGGAGUGCCCUUCGGGGGAUCGGAACAC